Molecule: ribosomal RNA, 406 nt
Filed under: uncultured bacterium
Lineage: Bacteria
Description: partial 16S ribosomal RNA
Rfam family: Bacterial small subunit ribosomal RNA
Source: RNAcentral
AUUGAACGCUGGCGGCAGGCCUAACACAUGCAAGUCGAACGAGUGGCGGACGGGUGAGUAAUGUAUGGGAAAGUGCCUGAUGGAGGGGGAUAACUACUGGAAACGGUAGCUAAUACCGCAUACCAUCGGAUGUGCCCAGAUGGGAUGAGCUAGUGGGUAGGGUAAAGGCUCACAUAGGCGACGAUCCCUAGCUGGUCUGAGAGGAUGACCAGCCAGACUGGAACUGAGACACGGUCCAGACUCCUACGGGCGGCAGCAGUGGGGAAUAUUGCACAAUGGGCGCGAGCCUGAUGCAGCCAUGCCGCGUGUAUGAAGAAGGGCUUCGGGUUGUAAAGUACUUUGAGCAGGGAGGCGUUACCUGCAGAAGAAGCACCGGCUAACUCCGUGCCAGCAGCCGCGGUAAUAC